This 467-nucleotide ribosomal RNA is filed under the name uncultured bacterium. RNAcentral describes it as "partial 16S ribosomal RNA". It matches the Rfam family "Bacterial small subunit ribosomal RNA", at positions 28 to 506 of the family's 1533-position model. The record is from RNAcentral.
GACGAACGCUGGCGGCGUGCUUAACACAUGCAAGUCGAACGGAAAGGCCCUGCUUUUGUGGGGUGCUCGAGUGGCGAACGGGUGAGUAACACGUGAGUAACCUGCCCUUGACUUUGGGAUAACUUCAGGAAACUGGGGCUAAUACCGGAUAGGAGCUCCUGCUGCAUGGUGGGGGUUGGAAAGUUUCGGCGGUUGGGGAUGGACUCGCGGCUUAUCAGCUUGUUGGUGGGGUAGUGGCUUACCAAGGCUUUGACGGGUAGCCGGCCUGAGAGGGUGACCGGCCACAUGGGGACUGAGAUACGGCCCAGACCCCUACGGGAGGCAGCAGGGGGGAAUAUUGCACAAGGGGCGGAAGCCUGAUGCAGCAACGCCGCGUGCGGGAUGACGGCCUUCGGGUUGUAAACCGCUUUCGCCUGUGCCGAAGCGUGAGUGACGGUAAUGGGUAAAGAAGCACCGGCUAACUACGU